AGCGCAGGCGGCCAAAUCAGUCUGAAGUGAAAGCCCGGGGCUUAACCCCGGAAUAGCUUUGGAUACUGCCUGGCUUGAGUGUGCGAUAGGAAAGCGGAAUUCCAGGUGUAGCGGUGAAAUGCGUAGAUAUCUGGAGGAACACCGGUGGCGAAAGCGGCUUUCUGGCGCAUAACUGACGCUGAGGCUCGAAAGCGUGGGGAGCGAACG
This 207-nucleotide ribosomal RNA is filed under the name uncultured bacterium. RNAcentral describes it as "partial 16S ribosomal RNA". It matches the Rfam family "Bacterial small subunit ribosomal RNA", at positions 568 to 774 of the family's 1533-position model. The record is from RNAcentral.